CCUACGGGCGGCAGCAGUGAGGAAUAUUGGUCAAUGGGCGCGAGCCUGAACCAGCCAAGUAGCGUGAAGGAUGACUGCCCUACGGGUUGUAAACUUCUUUUAUAAAGGAAUAAAGUGCGGCACGUAUGCCUUUUUGUAUGUACUUUAUGAAUAAGGAUCGGCUAACUCCGUACCAGCAGCCGCGGUAAUACGGAGGAUCCGAGCGUUAUCCGGAUUUAUUGGGUUUAAAGGGAGCGUAGAUGGGUUGUUAGGUCAGUUGUGAAAGUUUGCGGCUCAACCGUAAAAUUGCAAUUGAUACUGGCAGCCUUGAGUACAGUAGAGGUAGGCGGAAUUCGUGGUGUAGCGGUGAAAUGCUUAGAUAUCACGAAGAACUCCGAUUGCGAAGGCAGCUUACUAAACUGCCACUGACAUUGAUGCUCGAAAGUGUGGGUAUCAAACAGGAUUAGAUACCCCGGUAGUC
RNAcentral lists this ribosomal RNA (460 nucleotides) under uncultured bacterium. Its description in RNAcentral is "partial 16S ribosomal RNA". It matches the Rfam family "Bacterial small subunit ribosomal RNA", at positions 338 to 795 of the family's 1533-position model. The record is from RNAcentral.